ACUCAAAUGAAUAGACGGGGACCCGCACAAGCGGUGGAGCAUGUGGUUUAAUUCGACGGUAAGCGAGGAACCUUACCAAGGCUUGACAUACAGCUGCAAAUCUCUGGAAACAGAGACUUCUUCGAGAGUGCUGCACAGGUGCUGCACGGUUGUCGUCAGCUCGUGCCGUGAGGUGUUCACUUAAGUGUGAAAACGAGCGCAACCCCUAUUGUGAGUUACAAGUGUCUCACGAAACUGCCAGCGUUUAAGCUGGAGGAAGGCGGGGAUGACGUCAAAUCAGCGUGGCUCUUACGCCUUGGGCGACACACGUGCUACAAUGGGUAGGAACAGAGGGACGCCAAGGAGCAAUCCGGAGCAAAUCCCACCAAAACUACCCCCAGUUCGGAUCGAGGGCUGCAACUCGCCCUCGUGAAGCCGGAAUCGCUAGUAACCGUGGAUCAGCCUCGCCACGGUGAAUACGUUCUCGGGUUUUGUACACACCGCCCGU
RNAcentral lists this ribosomal RNA (487 nucleotides) under uncultured bacterium. RNAcentral describes it as "partial 16S ribosomal RNA". It matches the Rfam family "Bacterial small subunit ribosomal RNA", at positions 899 to 1397 of the family's 1533-position model. The record is from RNAcentral.